UACGAAGGGUGCAAGCGUUAAUCGGAAUUACUGGGCGUAAAGCGCGCGUAGGUGGUUCAGUAAGUUGGAAGUGAAAUCCCCGGGCUCAACCUGGGAACUGCUUUCAAAACUGCUGAGCUAGAGUACGGUAGAGGGUGGUGGAAUUUCCUGUGUAGCGGUGAAUGCGUAGAUAUAGGAAGGAACACCAGUGGCGAAGGCGACCACCUGGACUGAUACUGACACUGAGGUGCGAAAGCGUGGGGAGCAAACAGG
RNAcentral lists this ribosomal RNA (252 nucleotides) under uncultured bacterium. RNAcentral describes it as "partial 16S ribosomal RNA". It matches the Rfam family "Bacterial small subunit ribosomal RNA", at positions 524 to 776 of the family's 1533-position model. The record is from RNAcentral.